CUUCAGUACAAGCUUUUAAACUAGACACACUUGGCAGUUUAAAAUCAGAGCCUACUGCACUUCCUCACUGUGGUUCACAGAGGAGACUGGGAAAUGCCCAUCCAAAGAAAGCUGCAUGUUUGAGGAACGGGGGAGGGACAGAAAGUUCCAGAGAAGUUUCAGUUCCCCGUAAGUAGACUGAGGAAGCUCCUGAGACGCUCAGCAUUACUGGAACUUCCUGGGGCAGCCUGUGGGGUGAGUAGGAACAUGCUGGACCCAACCAGGUGGGGCCAGGUAGCUGGGCUGGUUUGGACUUGGGGGGAGCAGGCCACCCCUUCCAGCUGUCGCCUAGAGCCCUCAGGCAGGGACUUGAACUCCUGGCUUCGGUUAAGGUCAUUCCACCUCUACUGACUGAGGAGGCCUUGGGACUCCGGAAGGCAGAGUGUUCCCAACAGGGGACACACCUGGGAGCAAGCCGUGUCAUCCACUUUGCAGUCGUGUGGCUUUGGAGAGUUCAGUGGCCCAAAUCCACAGUGAGGGAAGGACAGGGUAGGAGCUAAACCCCGGGCCCCCUGCUCUUGGCAGCGUGGGGUCUGAUUUUAGGCCCGUUAAUUUCAUUCUGCUCCCAGCCACAGGCCCAUCUCCUGGGCCCGUCUCCCCUGGGGGACUUAGAGGAAGGGUCACUUGCUCUCUACACUCCUGCCCAUCAGUGUCCACUAUGGCCUCUGGUGGGGAAGGCCAUGGGAAGGCAGCUUCCCUUUCAGGAGGCAUGGAGUGGAGGCUCCCAGUCUCACAUCCGGGAGGGGGUAUCCUUCCUAAAGGCUGGUCCUCACAUUACCCUCUGUCUUCCAGCAGCUGAAGGUGGCUCUCUCAGAACAUGGCCGCUGGCCUUCACCCCCACAGGAAGACCACCCUUCCUUCCUUCAGCAGCCGCCGGCUGAGCAGCUCUCACGAACAGGUGAUCUUUUGGACACCAGGUCGCAGAGGAGCUAAGUAACUACAUUUCAAUAACAGAAACCUGCCAGGUGCCGCCUCUCUCUCCCCCUCCUUUUGCUGGGAACUGUGUUGCUACCACAGAUCUUUAAUCAGGUUAGACUUGAAGAGGAGGAAAGCGUGUGGAAGUCUAGGGAAAAUCCGGUAUCUGGAAGACAGACCCUGCCCUCUGGUCACAGGGGGUUGGCCGUAGUGACAUGGCAGGUGAGUUACAUGAAAUCCCUUCAAAAGCCUGAUGGUUUCCCUGCUCAAUGUCAGUGUUUAUUUCAGUACAAUCGCAGCUUGUUACAGUAAUGGGUAUAAAAUGUGAGACCCUCCCCUUCCAGGUGACGCACUGUGAGGGGCCAGUGGAGCUCAUGUGGGAAGCAAGAGAAGGAAAGGAGGGCCCACAGAGCAGGGCAGGAGGAGAGAGGCUUUCUUUAAAUUCGGUUUGCCAUUGUGAGUCCGGGAAGUAACCAUAGUCAGCAGUGUGCUCUGAGGGCCAGGUGUCACUAGCAGUGAACUCAGGCUGGCCAGCUCCGUCAUCUGUGAGAAGACCAAUCCCAGCGGCUCCCAGAGUUCUCCGGCUCUAGGUCCUCCUUCCUGCUGCUGCCCCUGUUCCCACCCUGUCCUGGGCUUGCCGCCCUAAAGGAAGGAUGUGGGUGGCUCCUGGGCACUGGGGCCCAAGAUCACCUGUCCUUAAGUCAGAUGGCCUCUAAGAGCUUACAGACUCACAGACUGGGGCGGCUGGUCACGUGGAGUGGAAGUCUUGCAUUUCGGAGGCAUAUUCUGGUCUCUGCCGUCUGGUUCCCAAGAGCUCCGUGUUGCUUGGUCCCCUGCAGAAGCCACCAGGCUCCCCUCCUCAAGUCUCCUGCUGUCUUGUACUGCGUAGAUGUUAAAGAGAGGUACCUUCUAGCUGGAAGGCUGCGUGGUGGCAGGCCCCAUGUUCCCAGGGGGUGACAUUCCCCAUCUUGCCUUACCCUCCCCCACUCACUUCCCUGUCCUUCUGGGCUCCUCUGUGCAAGCCCUCUGCCUGGGCUCCCUCCAUCCUUCCUUUCAUACUGGGUGCAUGUGUGCUAUUCCUGCCAGAAGAGCUCUUCCCUUUCUCCUGCGCCCACCGACAUCCUGCAGGGUCCAGGUCAAGAAGGACCGUGCCCGAACAACCUUCUUGAUCCUCUGGUUCCUUUGACUGCUACCUCUGGGGACGCCAAGAUGACAACACCCACCCGUUUCUUACUUCCUGCUCUUGUCCUACCCACCAUAUAAAUGUGAUGUUUUACCAGUUGGGGUGGUUCACCUACUCUUACAUUAUAAGACCCUUGCAAUCCGCAAUCAAUGCCAAAUACUUCUCUUACGUUCUCCACCAUGGCAGGGACACAGAACUAAUGUAUGGAGGUCUCAUGUGUACCAGACACUGAACUGGGGACGGGACAAUGGGAACUGAAUAGACAUGUCCUUGUCCUCUGGGAAUUUAUGCUUGGGUGGAGGAGACAGAUGCAUGGUUUCGCCACUGGAAGGUCAAGAUCAAGGAGAGAAUUAAG
RNAcentral lists this long non-coding RNA (2492 nucleotides) under Marmota monax (woodchuck). Lineage: Eukaryota; Metazoa; Chordata; Mammalia; Rodentia; Sciuridae. The record is from RNAcentral.